RNAcentral lists this long non-coding RNA (475 nucleotides) under Trifolium pratense (red clover). RNAcentral's name for it is "long non-coding RNA (TPRA_LNC009256)". The record is from RNAcentral. Lineage: Eukaryota; Viridiplantae; Streptophyta; Magnoliopsida; Fabales; Fabaceae.
AUAAACUCCCAUAUACAGAGGAAAAUGAAUUCUCACACAUCAGAGAAAAAUAAAUUCUCAAAAAUCAGAUCAGGAUGUGUAGACAUCAUGGAUGACAUCAUAGCAUAACAUAUUUCAUGAGAACAUAGAGCUAGAGGUUUCAGAAGCAGAUCUGAAACUAUCACACAUAGUAGUAGUAAUCACAUUUAAGUAUCACAUAUCUGAGCAUUAUCACAUCUGAUUACAACACAUCUGAACACAUAUAGUACUUCUCAACAGAAUGCACAUCCACACAAACAAUCAUAGCAUGACCAGUUCUCUUUCAGUCAUACUUUGAGCAAUAGCUUGGUCUCAUGGAAGAUCAUCAAGAUCAGUUUCUUCCACCACAGUAUAAACUUCAAUACUCCAAACCACCAUCUGGUUUAAGACUCUCAGAGCCAUAUUAACAUCAGUUUGGGGAAUUGUAGAACAGGUUUCAACAACACUAUCAGGUUGG